Molecule: long non-coding RNA, 550 nt
Organism: Xenia sp. Carnegie-2017
Lineage: Eukaryota; Metazoa; Cnidaria; Anthozoa; Malacalcyonacea; Xeniidae
Exons: 2
Source: RefSeq, a predicted model, not a curated record
GUUCUGAUCCACCAUUGACGGAGAACAAUAUUGGUGCAAUUAUCAUUGUCACAAUGAAUGUGUUAAGUGUUGCCAUAGUCACCUACACUAAAGUUGCAAUUUCAACUUGGAUGCAGAAAGAAGGAAAACGUCAUCUGCGAUGGGCAGGAAUUUCCAUGCAGUCUGGCUCGUUCUUUGGAGCUGUGAUCAUAUUUUUAUUUGUCAAUGUGUUUGAAACCUUCUCGAGAUGUUAACAUGAAGGAUUCUUCUACACAUGUGACAUCAAUGGACUAUAAAUGUCAGUCUGUUCCACACAACCUCUUUAACUGACCUCCAUACCCAAAAUUUUUUAAUAAAGAUGAAGAUAUAAGGAAAUAAACAAAAGGAGCAAAUAAUUUUACUUAGAGCUGUAUUGCUAUAAAAUAUCUAUGAUAACAGAUCCAAGGAAAUAUUUAUACAGAUUAAUCAUGACAGGUGAUAACAUUUGUCAAAGUAAGCAAUCAGAUUGUGCUCUCCAGCUGAAGAUUUAUAGAGAUAAAAUAUUAGAACUUAAAUAUAUCAUUAUGUAAAA